GACUACUAGGGUAUCUAAUCCCGUUUGCUACCUUAGCUUUCGUGUCUGAGCGUCAGAAAUGGGCCAGGAGGCCGCUUUCGCCACUGGUGUUCCUCCGGAUAUCUACGCAUUUCACCACUACACCCGGAAUUCCACCUCCCUCUACCACUCUCAAGUCUGAUAGUUUUGAACGACCUCUCCCAGUUAAGCCAGGAGCUUUCACAUCCAACUUAUCAAACCGCCUACACACGCUUUACGCCCAAUAAAUCCGGAUAACGCUCGCCUCCUACGUUUUACCGCGGCUGCUGGCACGUAGUUAGCCGAGGCUUAUUCUAAGGGUACUGUCCUUCCUCAUCCCCUUAAAAAGUGCUUUACAACCCGAAGGCCGUCAUCGCACACGCGGCGUUGCUGGUUCGCGCUUUCGCACAUUACCAAUAUUCCCUACUGCAGCCCCCCGUAGG
RNAcentral lists this ribosomal RNA (440 nucleotides) under uncultured Anaerolineaceae bacterium. Its description in RNAcentral is "partial 16S ribosomal RNA". The record is from RNAcentral. Lineage: Bacteria; Bacillati; Chloroflexota; Anaerolineae; Anaerolineales; Anaerolineaceae.